UCCGAAGGGGGCUAUCGUUGCUCGGAAUGACUGGGCGUAAAGGGCGCGUAGGCGGCUUACAUAGUUAGGCGUGAAAUUCCUGGGCUCAACCUGGGGACUGCGUCUAAUACAUGUAGGCUUGAGUGUGAAAGAGGGUCGUGGAAUUUCCAGUGUAGAGGUGAAAUUCGUAGAUAUUGGAAAGAACACCGGUGGCGAAGGCGGCGACCUGGUUCAUUACUGACGCUGAGGCGCGAAAGCGUGGGAAGAAAACAGG
Molecule: ribosomal RNA, 253 nt
Filed under: uncultured bacterium
Lineage: Bacteria
Description: partial 16S ribosomal RNA
Rfam family: Bacterial small subunit ribosomal RNA
Source: RNAcentral